Molecule: ribosomal RNA, 253 nt
Filed under: uncultured bacterium
Lineage: Bacteria
Description: partial 16S ribosomal RNA
Rfam family: Bacterial small subunit ribosomal RNA
Source: RNAcentral
UACAGAGGUCUCAAGCGUUGUUCGGAUUCAUUGGGCGUAAAGGGUGCGUAGGUGGCGCUGUAAGUCGGGUGUGAAAUUUCGGAGCUUAACUCCGAAACUGCAUUCGAUACUGCGGUGCUUGAGGACUGGAGAGGAGACUGGAAUUUAUGGUGUAGCAGUGAAAUGCGUAGAGAUCAUAAGGAAGACCAGUGGCGAAGGCGGGUCUCUGGAAAGUUCCUGACACUGAGGCACGAAGGCCAGGGGAGCAAACGGG